RNAcentral lists this unclassified non-coding RNA (196 nucleotides) under fungal sp. RNAcentral's name for it is "partial internal transcribed spacer region". The stretch from base 1 to 46 matches the Rfam family "Eukaryotic small subunit ribosomal RNA", at positions 1786 to 1831 of the family's 1831-position model. RNAcentral also lists the same sequence under 1 other name. Lineage: Eukaryota; Fungi. The record is from RNAcentral.
AAGUCGUAACAAGGUUUCCGUAGGUGAACCUGCGGAAGGAUCAUUAAAGAGUUUUGAGGUUGGUCGCGUGCAUCCCGUUCUUUUUAAAUGGACGGGAAGUGACGCGUACCAUGACCUUUGCGUAUGUUGUGUUUGUCUGUGUUACUAUGUUAUAUUAAAUUAAAGACAACUUUUAACAAUGGAUCUCUUGGUUCUC